Trichuris suis (pig whipworm) is the source of this 73-nucleotide non-coding RNA. The record is from Rfam. Lineage: Eukaryota; Metazoa; Nematoda; Enoplea; Trichinellida; Trichuridae.
GGGCCAGUAGCUCAAAUGGUAGAGCGCUCGCUUAGCAUGCGAGAGGUACUGGGAUCGACACCCAGGUGGUCCA